Non-coding RNA from Gossypium raimondii (Peruvian cotton), 142 nucleotides. The record is from Rfam. Lineage: Eukaryota; Viridiplantae; Streptophyta; Magnoliopsida; Malvales; Malvaceae.
AAAUAAACUUGGUCAUUUCUGUUGUUAAAAACAAGCAUGGCUGACAAAAUAACAAGACAAUUACACGUGACGUGCCACGUGUACCUCAUUCUGAGGUAUAUGGACCAAUUUUUAACUGUAGAAAUAGAUGGAAUUUUUAAUA